RNAcentral lists this ribosomal RNA (784 nucleotides) under uncultured bacterium. RNAcentral's name for it is "bacterial SSU rRNA". It matches the Rfam family "Bacterial small subunit ribosomal RNA", at positions 96 to 872 of the family's 1533-position model. The record is from RNAcentral.
CGGCGGACUGGUGAGUAACACGUGGGUGAUCUACCUCGGGGAUGGGGAUAGCCAUUAGAAAUAGUGGGUAAUACCGAAUACGCUUCCACGAUUGCGGUUGUGGAAGGAAAGGCGCUACGGCGCCGACCCGAGAUGAGCCCGCGCCCCAUUAGCUAGUUGGUGAGGUAACGGCCCACCAAGGCGAUGAUGGGUAGGCGGCCUGAGAGGGUGUACGCCCACAUUGGGACUGAGAUACGGCCCAAACUCCUACGGGAGGCAGCAGCUAAGAAUAUUCCGCAAUGGACGAAAGUCUGACGGAGCGACGCCGCGUGGAUGAUGAAGGCCGGAAGGUUGUAAAAUCCUUUUGUCGGGGAAGAAUAAGCAUGGGAGGGAAUGCCCGUGUGAUGACAUGAACCGGCGAAUAAGCCCCGGCUAACUACGUGCCAGCAGCCGCGGUAACACGUAGGGGGCGAGCGUUGUUCGGAAUUACUGGGCGUAAAGGGCAUGUAGGCGGUUCUGUAAGCCUGACGUGAAAGGCUAUGGCUCAACCAUGGCACUGCGUUGGGAACUGCGGGACUUGAAUCAUGGAGAGGGAGCUGGAAUUCCAGGUGUAGGGGUGAAAUCUGUAGAUAUCUGGAAGAACACCAGUGGCGAAGGCGAGCUCCUGGCCAAUGAUUGACGCUGAGGUGCGAAAGUGUGGGGAUCAAACAGGAUUAGAGACCCUGGUAGUCCACACUGUCAACGAUGUGCACUAGGUGCUGGGGCGGACGCUUCAGUGCCGGAGCUAACGCGGUAAGUGCACCGC